This is a long non-coding RNA of Drosophila obscura, 923 nucleotides long. RefSeq lists it as uncharacterized. Lineage: Eukaryota; Metazoa; Arthropoda; Insecta; Diptera; Drosophilidae. The record is from RefSeq and is a predicted model, not a curated record. The transcript is spliced from 3 exons.
UGCAGUGCGGAGGAGAGAAGGCUCAUUCGACGAGAUGAAGGAAAAAUCCAUUAAUCCACGGCCAGGUUAAUAAAACGAUCUCAAAACUUCGUAACCAAUGCCUUAAAACCGGGAAAAAUAGGACGAUUGCCAACGAAGUUGGGAAUAGUGUGUCAUCACGGACCGUUCGGCGACGAUUGGCAAUAGGAAACCUACCAGGGUAGGAUUGCUCCCAAGGUUCCUUCGCUUCGGUCGGCAAAUUUACAGAUGGCGACAAAAUGUUUACUAGAUCGUAGAACCUGGUGCGGACCGGAGGGAAUGUUCGUCGUCCGAAAGGCAAAGAAUUUGAUCCCAGGUACACAUGUAAAGCUGUGAAACAUGGAGGUGGUAACCUAAUGGUAUGCGGCUGCUUUUGCGUGGUAUGGUGUUGGUCCGAUUCAUCGUAUUGACGGAAUAAUGGACUGAUUCGUAUACAAAGAUCUAUAGAAGACGGUGAUGCUACCAUAUGCCGAGGAUAAUAUGCCAAGUUUUAUGGAAGUUCCAGCAGGAUAAUGACCCGAAGCACGCCUCUCGAGUAGUAAAGGAUUGGUUCCGAGAGAAAAGUGUGGAUGUUCUUGGGUGGCCAAGUCAAUCCCCGGAACUUAAUCCCAUCGAGAAUCUCUGGGGUGAACUCAAAAGAGAGGUCGGAAAGACUUUUUGUCAGAAUAAUAAUCAACUUUGGGAUAUUGUCCAAAAAGCAUGGUACAACAUUCCAAUUGGAACUUGUCUCAAGUUAAUAUCCUCCAUGCCAAGACGAAUGGAGAAAGUCCUGCAAAAUAAUGGCGGAUAUACCGGGUAUUAGCUGCCAGAUACUCAAUUUAAUUUAAAGCAAGACCUAAAAUAGUGAAAUAUCGAUUUAAUUUAAACAUUUUUCUUCGUACACCUAUUAUUAUAUCCAGACAAAA